AGAAUCCCGUCCACCGAUUGACUAAGGUUUCCAGAGGAAGGCUCGUCCGCUCUGGGUUAGUCGGGUCCUAAGCUGAGGCCGACAGGCGUAGGCGAUGGAUAACAGGUUGAUAUUCCUGUACCACCUAUAAUCGUUUUAAUCGAUGGGGGGACGCAGUAGGAUAGGCGAAGCGUGCGAUUGGAUUGCACGUCUAAGCAGUAAGGCUGAGUAUUAGGCAAAUCCGGUACUCAUUAAGGCUGAGCUGUGAUGGGGAGAAGACAUUGUGUCUUCGAGUCGUUGAUUUCACACUGCCGAGAAAAGCCUCUAGAUAGAAAAUAGGUGCCCGUACCGCAAACCGACACAGGUAGUCAAGAUGAGAAUUCUAAGGUGAGCGAGCGAACUCUCGUUAAGGAACUCGGCAAAAUGACC
RNAcentral lists this ribosomal RNA (408 nucleotides) under Staphylococcus aureus. Its description in RNAcentral is "partial 23S ribosomal RNA". It matches the Rfam family "Bacterial large subunit ribosomal RNA", at positions 1324 to 1727 of the family's 2925-position model. The record is from RNAcentral. Lineage: Bacteria; Bacillati; Bacillota; Bacilli; Caryophanales; Staphylococcaceae.